Molecule: unclassified non-coding RNA, 342 nt
Filed under: soil metagenome
Description: partial contains 5.8S ribosomal RNA, internal transcribed spacer 2, and large subunit ribosomal RNA
Rfam family: 5.8S ribosomal RNA (bases 1-120)
Source: RNAcentral
GAUUAAGAACGUAGCGAAAUGCGAUAAGUAGUGUGAAUUGCAGAAUUCAGUGAAUCAUCGAAUCUUUGAACGCACAUUGCGGCCAUAGGUAUUCCUUUGGCCAUGCCUGUUCGAGCGUCAUUUACACCCUCAAGCCUAGCUUGGUGUUGGGCGUCUGUCCCGCCGUUCUCGCGCGCGGACUCGCCUCAAAGUCAUUGGCGGCGGUCGUGCCGGCCCCCUCGCGCAGCACAUUUGCGCUUCUCGGAGGCCCGGCGGAUCCGCGCUCCAGCAAGACCUUUCACGACUUGACCUCGGAUCAGGUAGGGAUACCCGCUGAACUUAAGCAUAUCAAUAAGCGGAGGA